CAUUCCUGUGCCGUGCAGGUCGGAGGGGCUGCCAGCCCCGAGGCCUCCGGGAAUGUUCCUCAGCUGCAAAGGGGGAAGAUUAUCUACAGGGGGAGUUGGUUAAAAGCACAAACCUGAGGUGUCCCUGGAGUCAGUGUCAAUCUCCUGCAGAAGGAUGGCGUGUUCCAGCCUUGGACUUCUCCAUCUGGAGACCUCCAGGCCUUGGCCCCUUGGCUUUUUCCCUCACACCAGUCCAAGUGGAAGGUGUUUUGGAAAUGCCAGCCUUGCUAUUCCGUGCUCCCUCUGUUCAACACAGCGCCUUCCACUCUCCAGGAGUUCUAGGAGUUUUUCAGGGAGUAAAAGCAGUGGAUUAACAGAGUUCACCCCUGCCCCCUCUUCUCCCCUCAGCCAUGAUCAGGGGUCCCGUUUCCAGGAGCAGGAUGGCUGAAUUUGUUUUAAUUGAAGCAUGAGGAGCACAGUUGGGAGAGGAUGGGGAGUAGGAGGAUGUGUCUGCUCAGGAGGGGCAGUGGCAAAUCUUAGUGAAUGUGGAGGGGGUGGUUGAGGGAUCCUCUGGAUCAGGAUCAGCAGGAGGAGUUCUAUUUGCUUUAUGUAUUUAUUUAUUUAUUUAUUUCUUGAAUUUGAAGGGUUUUUUACAUUGCUUCAGGAUUAGGACUGGAGAACAGGUGUUGCCUAAUGGGUGAGCCAGUAUGUGUUGCUCUGUUGGAUAAGUGACUAUUUUUAGAUCCUGGAAGUCUCCUCCUGGAGGCUCCAUUUUUGGUGUGGAUUGCCAACAGCCUGUGCCCUCAGCUUGGCACAGCUGGUAGGAGCUGUCAGGAUAUGCUGGACAAAACGAUUUCUCCAGACUUGGAAAAAGCGUUUCCUAGGUCUUCACCAAAUGGUGAACUGUUUGCAAAUUUCCACUUUCCCACUGCAGCCACUUGGAGUGAAAGAAAUUAGCAGAGUUUAGUACAUUUCCCCGUGGAAUUUCUCUUAAAUACCUAUGGAUUUCCAGAGCUGGAGGCUGAGUCUGCACAGUCACUCCCUCUCACCACCACUGCACAAGAACUCGUCAGGACAACAUGGGAUGGGCUGCUCUUCAUGUGCAUUUAAGGAAAAGUCAAUUAAAAAAAAAAAAAGGAGAGAAUCGAAGCCUGGUUCAGGAGACAUACUGCUGAAAAAUCUCCUGGGAUAUGGUCUGUAAGAAGGUUCUGCCUUCAUUGCAGCAAGAACUGAAGGAACCUCAAACCAUGAGCAACUCCAGCUUUUUCUGUCCUGUUUAUCCAUCCCUUUGUUCCCCUCUAGGGCUCUGCUUUCCCACAUGGAUAUAUUGCUAAUAAACAGUGUUGCAUC
Molecule: long non-coding RNA, 1329 nt
Organism: Passer domesticus (house sparrow)
Lineage: Eukaryota; Metazoa; Chordata; Aves; Passeriformes; Passeridae
Exons: 4
Source: RefSeq, a predicted model, not a curated record